This 96-nucleotide transfer RNA is filed under the name Heterobasidion irregulare TC 32-1. It matches the Rfam family "tRNA". Rfam says of the family: Transfer RNA (tRNA) molecules are approximately 80 nucleotides in length. Lineage: Eukaryota; Fungi; Basidiomycota; Agaricomycetes; Russulales; Bondarzewiaceae. The record is from Rfam by way of RNAcentral.
UCCCUCUUAGCUCAGUUGGUAGAGCGCGUCACUAGUAUCCACGUGCUGUUGGCUUACGCAAUGACGAGGUCAGUCGUUCAAAUCGGCUAGCGGGAA